CAAUUUUCUCUGCAUUAGUCUAAUAAUCUUUUUUUUUUUUAAAGAGUGAAAUGACUCUCUUAUGUCUUAUGAGCCUUCCGAAUAUAAUAUAAUAAUCAAUGUUGUUUUCAAAACAACUGGUAAGACUUAAGGUAAGGGUUGACAUAUGGUUCAAACAGAAACAACUUGAUUGUAAAGCUUAGUUAUUAAUUCUGACUGGUUAAGGUAAGGGUUAAGUUUAGGCAUUGAUUCUGACUGGUUAAGGUAAGGGUUAAGUUUAGGCAUUGAUUCUGACUGGUUAAGGUAAGGGUUAAAUUUAGGCAUUUAUUCUGACUGGUUAAGGUAAGGGUUAAGUUUAGGCAUUUAUUCUGACUGGUUAAGGUAAGGGUUACGUUUAGGCAUUUAUUCUGACUGGUUAAGGUAAGGGUUAAGUUUAGGCAUUUAUUCUGACUGGUUAAGGUAAGGGUUAAGUUUAGGCAUUCAUUCUGACUGGUUAAGGUAAGGGUUAAGGCUUGGGAUAGAAACCAUGAUACUAGGAGUCGUAGCUAGCGAUUCAAGCCCUUCCUCUAUCCUCGUCCACAACGCCCUAGCAAGUCGGGACGCUCACGUUGCCCUUACUGGACGUUAUCGAAGGGAUCUCCUGACAUCCUGGAGACCUGGAUGAACGUCUAAUACUGCCGUGGUUUUGACCUAGCUGACAAUCCUGUACAAGGAGGAGGAACAAGAAAAACGGAUUUACCUUCUCCUCUCCUUGUGUCUCAUUUCAUUAUUUUCAGUGAUUUAUCUAUUACUGGCCAGUUAACCAAAUGACAGCUUUCAGAUAGGAGGGACAAAAUUCAUUUCCUUAGUCAUUAGACUACGGAUGUAUGCGUAUGUCCAUAGGUCUGCCUGCGUUCUGGCCACAGCCUGGUUACCAUGAGAACGCCAUGGAGGAUGGCAUUACUGCGUUACUCUGACAUCACCAGACAGUGACUCAUACUCUUUGGGUUGUGUUGUUGUGAGUGUGAGUGUGAUUGUGUGUGUGUGUGUGUGUGUGUGUGUGUGUGUGUGUGUGUGUGUGUGUGU
Molecule: long non-coding RNA, 1044 nt
Filed under: Salmo salar (Atlantic salmon)
Lineage: Eukaryota; Metazoa; Chordata; Actinopteri; Salmoniformes; Salmonidae
Description: lncRNA (ENSSSAG00000095533.1)
Source: RNAcentral